This 21-nucleotide microRNA is filed under the name Callithrix jacchus (white-tufted-ear marmoset). RNAcentral describes it as "Cja-Mir-34-P3b_3p* (star (passenger))". RNAcentral also lists the same sequence under 3 other names. Lineage: Eukaryota; Metazoa; Chordata; Mammalia; Primates; Cebidae. The record is from RNAcentral.
CAGCCACAACUACCCUGCCAC